AGGACGAACGCUGGCGGCGCGCCUAACACAUGCAAGUCGAACGAGCGAAGAGGAGCUUGCUUCUCUGAGCGAGUGGCGAACGGGUGAGUAACGCGUGAGGGAACCCUGCCUCAAAGAGGGGGACAACAGUUGGAAACGACUGCUAAUACCGCAUAAGCCCACGGGUCGGCAUCGACCAGAGGGAAAAAGGAGCAAUCCGCUUUGAGAUGGCCUCGCGUCCGAUUAGCUAGUUGGUGAGGUAAUGGCCCACCAAGGCGACGAUCGGUAGCCGGACUGAGAGGUUGAACGGCCACAUUGGGACUGAGACACGGCCCAGACUCCUACGGGAGGCAGCAGUGGGGAAUAUUGCACAAUGGGGGAAACCCUGAUGCAGCGACGCCGCGUGGAGGAAGAAGGUCUUCGGAUUGUAAACUCCUGUUGUUGAGGAAGAUAAUGACGGUACUCAACAAGGAAGUGACGGCUAACUACGUG
RNAcentral lists this ribosomal RNA (471 nucleotides) under uncultured bacterium. RNAcentral's name for it is "bacterial SSU rRNA". It matches the Rfam family "Bacterial small subunit ribosomal RNA", at positions 26 to 507 of the family's 1533-position model. The record is from RNAcentral.